UCCCCGAUAGCUCAAUCGGCAGAGCGAGCGACUGUUAAUCGCUAGGUUGUUGGUUCGAUUCCAACUCGGGGAG
RNAcentral lists this transfer RNA (73 nucleotides) under Planctomycetota bacterium. RNAcentral describes it as "Planctomycetes bacterium (bioreactor metagenome) tRNA-Asn". It matches the Rfam family "tRNA". From Rfam's summary of the family: Transfer RNA (tRNA) molecules are approximately 80 nucleotides in length. Their secondary structure includes four short double-helical elements and three loops (D, anti-codon, and T loops). Lineage: Bacteria; Pseudomonadati; Planctomycetota. The record is from RNAcentral.